Molecule: long non-coding RNA, 2086 nt
Filed under: Mytilus galloprovincialis (Mediterranean mussel)
Lineage: Eukaryota; Metazoa; Mollusca; Bivalvia; Mytilida; Mytilidae
Source: RNAcentral
CUGUUCCUGAGCAUUUCACAAAGAAUAAAUAUAAGUUGUAAGAAUAUAAAAUAAAUGUGUGAAUACACAAACACAAAAAUAUAUCUGCAAUAUGCACAAUUAUUUCUAAUAUAAAUAUCUAUAUUGUACAUGUAUUGUGUAGAUGAAACAGCAAAAUAUCACAAGGUUAUACAAGAUACAGAAUUCUGAACAAGAACCAUAUUUAAUUUAACAUAUAUUCUAUCUGUGAACAACUGCAGUAUAACUACUAAACAAACCUGGCAAAAUCUAUUAUGAUUGAGAUACAGUCUAAAUAGAAAAAGAUAUUUUUUGGUUUCAUUUUAUUUAAUUAUUUGUACAGUUGUAAAUCAACAGUUUAUGUAAAUCUCUUUGGUCUUCAGAGGUGUUUGUUCUUUAAUCUUAUACAGUUUAUACUAUUAUUUCAGGAGUUAUUUCACUUAGUGAAUUCUAUCUCUUUUAUAUAUCGUUUAUUUAUAUAUUAUAUAAUAAUCUCAUUUUUUAUAUAUUUUUGACAAUCACUAUAAUAAAUACAAUCUAUAAUUUAUGAAUGUAUGGUAUUUGGUUUUCAAAAAUAAUACCUGAAUUUUGCAGAAGUUAACAAAUAAUAACUCUGAUCGUCACCGUUAAUUUUGAAGAAUGAAGAAAUUAAAUCAAAAAGGAAUAAUCUAAAUAAAUUGUUAUCUAUUCCUAUUUAUAAUCUUGAACUAGUAUGUGAUGAAAACACAAAAUUCCCAUCAUGUAAAAUGGACAAAAUAUCUUGACUUUUAAAAUAUAUGUGCUGCAGUCCUGAUAAAAAAAUAUACUUGUCCUACUUGAUACCAUUUUCAUGAAAAAUAAUAAAACUUACAUAAUUUUAUUCAUUUCAUUUACUCCUCUAUUGCUUGAUAGUUCUUUCAUCUGGAAUUCAAUCGCAUUUUAAAGACUAUAUUAUCAUUAUCAUGAACUGAUUAAAAGCCAAAUGUUCAAGAUUAAAUUAGUUGUUGGUAUGUCAAAAAGGUUGUUAACUUCUACAUCAACUAAGUUCUGGUGGAGAGUAGUCGGAUUAAAAUUGGCAACCAUACCAUACCUUCUCGUUUUAUAUAAGAUAUGUUUAAACAGUCAUGGAAAUGUUGCCAGUAAAGAAAAUGCUGUUUUGAGCAUAAUUAAAGGUUAAAUCAUAUAAAUAAACAGUAAAAUGAAAGAAAAUAUCAGUAAAUUGAACCUCAAACGUAAACAAGAAAAAAAAAUUAUGUAAACUAUUUGCAUAUGUGGUUUUUUUCUUCUUCAAAACAACUAUGGAGACAUAAUAGAAAAUAAAUUAAUCACUUGUAGUGUAAUUACGAAUUUGAAAUUAUCAUUUAUUCCUAAUUAAAAACACCUAAACAACUAAGAGAGUUCUUAAUUUUGACAAGGGAGAUAACACGUAACAUUUUUUAAUUUCGAGGAGACUUUCUUUCAUUAUUUGUAUUAGUAAGGAAAUAAACAGAUAUAUUAAUUUUGGUUUCUAUUUCCAGAAGUUCACAUGUCUCCUCAAAAAAAAUUGCUGUGAUAUAAUAACAUAAGCAUUGUGGAAUAAUAAAUUUACAGGAAAGUGCAUUAAUUUCAAAAGUUUUCUAUUUAUCAAAAAAUAAUAUUGUAUAAGAACAUAAUUCCAAAACAUCUGAUGAAUAAGUAUAGUGACUAUUUUCUUACAUUUUAUAAAAAAAAAUCUUUCCAAUGAAUAUAAUAUUGUAUGUCUCCCAUAAAAAUAAUAACUUCACAAUAAAAUGCCCACAGAUAUAACAACCAUAUAAUUGAGGUAAUAUGUAAAUUAAUACCUGCUUAUGUUUACUUCAUUCCAAUGAUAUACCAUUAAGUUCAAUAAUUUCACUCAUCUUUUAAAGGUUAUAAAUUUCAAUGGUAUUAUUUUCAUCUAGCAUCAUAUUCAAAUAAAAGUGAAGUUGGGUAUAUGUCAAUGAGACAGCAACCAAGCAACACAUAACAAUACAUCUAGUGUUCAAAAUACUGUCUGAUACAUUUUUUGUAGUUUAAUAAACAAACUUGUGACAUUGCCUGAAAUAUAUAAACAUAUUACAAAAUAAUCCCCCUAAAAAGCUGGGAAUGUUUU